AUUUGAUGACUAUAUAUAUAUAUAGAUAUGAAAAGUCCAAGGUUUUAUAAGCAGUAUCCAUAUCCAUAAAGUAUAAUACAUGGCAUCCAUGAAGCUAUAUGUGUCUGUUGUGCUCAUACUUGCAGGUACCUUUGCCCAAGGUACCCUGGCCCGGAAGACGAAUGGACUCGAUAUUGGAGAAUGUUUGGAUCAGUGGUAUCACGGAAAACCUUGCAAUGUAUAUGAAUGCUAUAACGAGUGCCAGCGAGUAAAAGGACCGACCGCCGGAGGUAGAUGCAAUAUCGAGAAGACAUUGUGUCUAUGUGUAUACCCUUGUUAAAGUCCUUUGUGACGUGAAAGCCAUAUUAUGUAUUUAUUAUAUAAAUAAAUGAGCUUUCUGAUA
Long non-coding RNA from Lactuca sativa (garden lettuce), 382 nucleotides. RefSeq lists it as uncharacterized. NCBI's taxonomy places the organism in Eukaryota, Viridiplantae, Streptophyta, Magnoliopsida, Asterales, Asteraceae. The record is from RefSeq and is a predicted model, not a curated record.